GACGAACGCUGGCGGCGUGCCUAAUACAUGCAAGUCGAGCGAAGUUUUUCUGGUGCUUGCACUAGAAAAACUUAGCGGCGAACGGGUGAGUAACACGUAAAGAACCUGCCUCAUAGACUGGGACAACUAUUGGAAACGAUAGCUAAUACCGGAUAACAGCAUUAACUGCAUGGUUGAUGUUUAAAAGUUGGUUUUGCUAUCACUAUGAGAUGGCUUUGCGGUGCAUUAGCUAGUUGGUGGGGUAAAGGCCUACCAAGGCGACGAUGCAUAGCCGACCUGAGAGGGUGAUCGGCCACACUGGGACUGAGACACGGCCCAGACUCCUACGGGAGGCAGCAGUAGGGAAUCUUCCGCAAUGGGCGAAAGCCUGACGGAGCAACGCCGCGUGAGUGAAGAAGGAUUUCGGUUCGUAAAGCUCUGUUGUUAGGGAAGAAUGAUUGUGUAGUAACUAUACACAGUAGAGACGGUACCUAACCAGAAAGCCACGGCUAACUACGUG
RNAcentral lists this ribosomal RNA (499 nucleotides) under uncultured bacterium. RNAcentral describes it as "partial 16S ribosomal RNA". It matches the Rfam family "Bacterial small subunit ribosomal RNA", at positions 28 to 507 of the family's 1533-position model. The record is from RNAcentral.